GACGAACGCUGGCGGCGUGCUUAACACAUGCAAGUCGAACGGAAAGGCCCUGCUUUUGUGGGGUGCUCGAGUGGCGAACGGGUGAGUAGCACGUGAGUAACCUGCCCUUGACUUUGGGAUAACUUCAGAAAACUGGGGCUAAUACCGGAUAGGAGCUCCUGCUGCAUGGUGGGGGUUGGAAAGUUUCGGCGGUUGGGGAUGGACUCGCGGCUUAUCAGCUCGUUGGUGGGGUAGUGGCUUACCAAGGCUUUGACGGGUAGCCGGCCUGAGAGGGUGACCGGCCACAUUGGGACUGAGAUACGGCCCAGACUCCUACGGGAGGCAGCAGUGGGGAAUAUUGCACAAUGGGCGAAAGCCUGAUGCAGCAACGCCGCGUGCGGGAUGACGGCCUUCGGGUUGUAAACCGCUUUCGCCUGUGACGAAGCGUGAGUGACGGUAAUGGGUAAAGAAGCACCGGCUAACUACGUGCCAGCAGCCGCGGUGAUACGUAGGGUACGAGCGUUGUCCGGAUUUAUUGGGCGUAAAGGGCUCGUAGGUGGUUGAUCGCGUCGGAAGUGUAAUCUUGGGGCUUAACCCUGAGCGUGCUUUCGAUACGGGUUGACUUGAGGAAGGUAGGGGAGAAUGGAAUUCCUGGUGGAGCGGUGGAAUGCGCAGAUAUCAGGAGGAACACCAGUGGCGAAGGCGGUUCUCUGGGCCUUUCCUGACGCUGAGGGGCGAAAGCGUGGGGAGCGAACAGGCUUAGAUACCCUGGUAGUCCACGCUGUAAACGGUGGGUACUAGGUGUGGGGUCCAUUCCACGGGUUCCGUGCCGUAGCUAACGCUUUAAGUACCCCGCCUGGGGAGUACGGCCGCAAGGCUAAAACUCAAAGGAAUUGACGGGGCCCCGCACAAGCGGCGGAGCAUGCGGAUUAAUUCGAUGCAACGCGUAGAACCUUACCUGGGUUUGACAUGGAUCGGGAGUGCUCAGAGAUGGGUGUGCCUCUUUUGGGGUCGGUUCACAGGUGGUGCAUGGCUGUCGUCAGCUCGUGUCGUGAGAUGUUGGGUUAAGUCCCGCAACGAGCGCAACCCUUGUUCACUGUUGCCAGCACGUUAUGGUGGGGACUCAGUGGAGACCGCCGGGGUCAACUCGGAGGAAGGUGGGGAUGUCGUCAAGUCAUCAUGCCCCUUAUGUCCAGGGCUUCACGCAUGCUACAAUGGCUGGUACAGAGAGUGGCGAGCCUGUGAGGGUGAGCGAAUCUCGGAAAGCCGGUCUCAGUUCGGAUUGGGGUCUGCAACUCGACCUCAUGAAGUCGGAGUCGCUAGUAAUCGCAGAUCAGCAACGCUGCGGUGAAUACGUUCCCGGG
RNAcentral lists this ribosomal RNA (1343 nucleotides) under uncultured bacterium. RNAcentral's name for it is "16S ribosomal RNA". It matches the Rfam family "Bacterial small subunit ribosomal RNA", at positions 28 to 1378 of the family's 1533-position model. The record is from RNAcentral.